This 363-nucleotide unclassified non-coding RNA is filed under the name uncultured bacterium. Its description in RNAcentral is "contains 16S-23S intergenic spacer region". The record is from RNAcentral.
UCCCCGUUACCGGGGCAGUCUAGCUAGAAAAAUUCAACUAACUAUAAGGGUUGCGCUCGUUGAUGGACUUAACCAAACAUCUCACGACACGAGCUGACGACGGCCAUGCAACACCUGUCACUCAGUUCAAUAAAGCACUCUCUCCUUUCGGAGAAAUUCUGAGGAUGUCAAACCCUGGUAAGGUUCUUCGCUUACCAUCGAAUUAAACAACACGCUCCACCGCUUGUGCGGGUCCCCGUCAAUUCCUUUAUGUUUUAGCCUUGCGGCCGUACUCCACAGGCGGGAUGCUUAACGCGUUAGCUUCGCUACGGAAGGGGUCGAUACCCCCCACAGCUAGCAUCCAUAGUUUACGGCGUGGACUAC